Molecule: long non-coding RNA, 1301 nt
Organism: Dioscorea cayenensis subsp. rotundata (Guinea yam)
Lineage: Eukaryota; Viridiplantae; Streptophyta; Magnoliopsida; Dioscoreales; Dioscoreaceae
Exons: 5
Source: RefSeq, a predicted model, not a curated record
UCAUUGUAAAAAAAUCUUGGUUUCUUCCCUUUUUCCUUCUCACAAGAUAGCCUCAUUGCCACCACCGGCCCUCAUCUCUGCCGAUGCCGCCACCGCCAAAUCUCAUCACAUAUUUUUCUUCACACUCUACUAUGUGAUUCGGAAGCAACCCACCACCGCCGGCCCUCAUCUCAUUUCCUUUUUGUUAUUGAGAGUGUUUGUGUUGCUAAGCUUACAAAACGGUUGUUCCUUUGGCUGGUUCGCCUGGGAAAAGCACUGAAGAUCAGCACCAUCUUUGAGGAUCUCCAAAUCCCCAAAUCCCCAAAUCCUAUUUCAUCGUCUCCUGUCUUUUAUUCACUUUGCUUCACUCUUUCUAGGGAUUUCUUGAUUAGCAAACCUUGAUAAAGUUUGCAUUCUUGGUUGUAGCAUUUCAUCAGGUCUUGGUGUUGUUUUGAAUGUAGCAAAACCAGCAAAGGGAUCAUUGGUUGUUGUUUUCGGCCUUGGAGCUAUAGGACUUGCGGAGAAACUGGUUGUGUUUAUGGAAUCUAUUUGUCACCCAUAUGUCAAGCACCACAAACAUUAAAUUUAAGCAGUGAAUGCAUUAUUUGAGAAGGAAAAACAACUAAACCGAAAACCAACCUAUGGAGAAUUGUUCAACCGCACCCACAAACGUGAGAAAGGUCAAGGUGAUUUUGUUGAUCAUAAGUCCAAGAAUGUCUGUAAAUCUUAUACUUCUUCAAUGAGUCAAAAGUAUGGUCCUGAUGAAGCCAAUCAUCCUGAGUUUGACCCAGAAGUUUGGUGUGAUGCAAUUGGAGGGCAAGGUACUACACGCACUCAUUUCUAUGGGUUUGGAAUCACGCCACCUGGUAAGAAUUUCAUAUCUACUUCCAUCAAUGCUGGAGAUGCAUCAUACUCGGCUUGUAGUCGUCCGAAUCAUGAACAUGAACAAACUCCAGUUGAAAUUGACAAUUUACUUGAAGAAGUGACUCUUGUGAAAGACAGAAUAAUCAACUUAGAGGAUAAAGUAGAGAAGCAAGCCAGCAAUACGCCGGAUAUCAAGAAGUAUCUUGAACAAAUGAUGGAUAUGUUUAAUCCUGCGCAUAUGUUUACAAAUGCUUCAAUAGGACCUUCUUAGCCUACCUCGCAGGAUAAAGACACUGGUAGACCACCACUUUGAAUAUUAAACAAAUUAAUAUAUGCUAUACAUAUGGUACUAUUUCUUUUUUUAUGUUUAGUACUUGUUAAGACUUGUUAAUUAUCAGUGAUGUAUGAACACUAAGUAUGGUACGGGAAAUUAAUUACAUGUUGUUGACAAUAUUUAA